ACUUGUACCGACUGGAUGAGCAGCGAACGGGUGAGUAACGCGUGGGGAAUCUGCCUUUGAGCGGGGGACAACAUUUGGAAACGAAUGCUAAUACCGCAUAAAAACUUUAAACACAAGUUUUAAGUUUGAAAGAUGCAAUUGCAUCACUCAGAGAUGAUCCCGCGUUGUAUUAGCUAGUUGGUGAGGUAAAGGCUCACCAAGGCGAUGAUACAUAGCCGACCUGAGAGGGUGAUCGGCCACAUUGGGACUGAGACACGGCCCAAACUCCUACGGGAGGCAGCAGUAGGGAAUCUUCGGCAAUGGACGAAAGUCUGACCGAGCAACGCCGCGUGAGUGAAGAAGGUUUUCGGAUCGUAAAACUCUGUUGGUAGAGAAGAACGUUGGUGAGAGUGGAAAGCUCAUCAAGUGACGGUAACUACCCAGAAAGGGACGGCUAACUACGUGCCAGCAGCCGCGGUAAUACGUAGGUCCCGAGCGUUGUCCGGAUUUAUUGGGCGUAAAGCGAGCGCAGGUGGUUUAUUAAGUCUGGUGUAAAAGGCAGUGGCUCAACCAUUGUAUGCAUUGGAAACUGGUAGACUUGAGUGCAGGAGAGGAGAGUGGAAUGUCCAUGUG
RNAcentral lists this ribosomal RNA (612 nucleotides) under Lactococcus lactis. RNAcentral describes it as "bacterial SSU rRNA". It matches the Rfam family "Bacterial small subunit ribosomal RNA", at positions 73 to 675 of the family's 1533-position model. Lineage: Bacteria; Bacillati; Bacillota; Bacilli; Lactobacillales; Streptococcaceae. The record is from RNAcentral.